GGUUGUGAGAGCGAUCUGGCUGUGACAUCUGUCACCCCAUUGUUUGCCAGGCUUGAUUAGACUGAUCUGGCUGGCUAGGUGGUUGUCCCCUUCCUCCCUUACCUCUCCAUGUGCGUCCCUCCCAAAGCUGCAUGCUCCCCGAAUAGAGGAGGACUGGUCUUAGUUCUCCCCUGCUAGAACCUCCAAACAAGCGCCCAUCUAGCUAUAUUCGGCUGGGCCAUUGGCCAAAUCAGCUUUAUUUAUCAACCAAUAAAAGCAAUACAUAUUCCCAACAUAUAGAAGGAAAUCCCAUAUCAUAGCUUCAUAUU
Cricetulus griseus (Chinese hamster) is the source of this 308-nucleotide unclassified non-coding RNA. Its record names the gene 7SK. It matches the Rfam family "7SK RNA". From Rfam's summary of the family: 7SK was discovered as an abundant small nuclear RNA in the mid-70s but a possible function has only recently been suggested. The record is from Ensembl. NCBI's taxonomy places the organism in Eukaryota, Metazoa, Chordata, Mammalia, Rodentia, Cricetidae.